Long non-coding RNA from Ictalurus punctatus (channel catfish), 1732 nucleotides. NCBI's taxonomy places the organism in Eukaryota, Metazoa, Chordata, Actinopteri, Siluriformes, Ictaluridae. The record is from Ensembl.
UACACAGUUAGAUACUACGCACUCACGUUACACAGUUAGAUGCUACACUCACGUUACACAGUUAGAUACUACCUACUCACGUUACACAGUUAGAUCCUACGCACUCACGUUACACAGUUAGAUCCUACGCACUCACGUUACACAGUUAGAUCCUACGCACUCACGUUACACAGCUACAUCCUACGCACUCACGUUACACGGUUAGAUACUAGGCACUCACGUUUACACCGUUAGAUCCUACGCACUCACGUUACACCGUUAGAUCCUACACUCACGUUACACAGUUAGAUACUACACACUCACGUUACACAGCUACAUCCUACGCACUCAUGUUACACAGUUAGAUCCUACGCACUCACGUUACAGUUAGAUCCUACACUCACGUUACACGGUUAGAUCCUACGCACUCACGUUACAGUUAGAUCCUACACUCACAUUACACAGUUAGAUCCUACACACUCACGUUACACAGUUAGAUCCUACGCACUCACGUUACACAGUUAGAUCCUACGCACUCACGUUACACAGUUAGAUCCUACGCACUCACAUUACACAGUUAGAUCCUACGCACUCACGUUACAGUUAGAUCCUACGCACUCACGUUACAGUUAGAUCCUACGCACUCACGUUACACGGUUAGAUCCUACGCACUCACGUUACACGGUUAGAUCCUAUGCACUCACGUUACACGGCUACAUCCUACGCGCUCACGUUACACCGUUAGAUCCUACGCGCUCACGUUACACCGUUAGAUCCUACGCGCUCACGUUACACAGUUAGAUCCUACGCACUCACGUUACACAGCUACAUCCUACGCACGCACGUUACACCGUUAGAUCCUACGCACUCACGUUACACCGUUAGAUCCUAUGCACUCACGUUACACCGUUAGAUCCUACGCACUCACGUUACACAGCUACAUCCUACGCACUCACGUUACACAGUUAGAUCCUACACACGUGUAUUCUACACACUCACGUUACGCAGUUAGAUCCGACACAUUCAUACCCUGCACUCUCAUCCUCCGCUGUUGCGUUCAGUUUCACUCUACACUGACGAACAAUAACAUUCUCCACUGUAACACUUACAUUCCACACCACCGCUUUAAAAACAGUCUGUGCGUUACAUUCUGCAUAAGCACAGUCCCGCGCUCUACAAUCUCUACUGUCGUCUUCUACAUUUUUGCGUAGUUGCUUUCUAACCUCGGAUUCGCCCGUAACGUGCCGUGAAGUUGUUGAUGCUCACUUUUAUUCUGAGCUGAUAUUCUGAAAUAUGUCACAUUCAGUCGCUGUUCCAUCAGUCCCGUUAAACGGUUUCUUUUACCCUGUUCCAUUCAUCACACCUCAGGUAGACAUUACCGUCUACCCGAUCUCAGUAUAUACCGCGUACGUCUACACAGACAUGUCGUGCACGGGUACGAUCAUUUUCAACACAUCACGUUAUACAGACUCGCGCUCUAUGGGAUCACGUUACACCGUUCUUCAUGGUCACUUUGUGCACGUUUAUACGUUCUACAGGAUCACAGCAUUUAUUUCUGCACGUUGAUCAGAUGCACCCUGGUCCUCCACAUUUCUACAAAAUUCCCGUCAUUGUGCAGUGAAAACGUUAUAAACAGCACUGAGAACGACGCUAAUCGAGUGUGUUCAUGACGCCAGUCCGUGUGAAUAAGUAUCUGUAUUUAUUUAUUUAUAUAUAUAUAUUUAUUUAUUAUUUAUUUAUUCUUUGUAUUUUC